CCAAGCUCACAAAUGCAUGUUCUAUAUCCUGCAACCAACAGUUCCAGAAGGUGUCUUCUGCGAAGCUGUUACCAAGGUAUCAUUCAACAGCAGGCCUACCUGCUUUACGGAAGCCACAUCCUUCUGCUGCAGUCCCAGCUUGUGGGUCAAGUGGACCAGACCACCAGACAGAAGGCUGGCUCAGACCCCAGGGAAUCUCAGAGAACAGCAGUAGUGGCAGCUACUACUUGUCCUGCCAUGCUCUACUUGUCCUGGAACAUGUACCUAAAGAACUCCACUGAGAGAGCCACAUAGAGACAACAACUGAAGUCCUUCCCCAUGCAAAUAGAGCAUCCCUAACAUCUCAGACUGAGCCAAUAGGAAGCCUCUACCCUGGAUCCCAGUCUACUUGCUCCUAAAGUGUUUAUAAGGUCCUUAUGCACAUGAAAUAAAGUGCACAGUUACCGCACCAA
RNAcentral lists this long non-coding RNA (452 nucleotides) under Rattus norvegicus (Norway rat). RNAcentral describes it as "long non-coding RNA NONRATT029061". Lineage: Eukaryota; Metazoa; Chordata; Mammalia; Rodentia; Muridae. The record is from RNAcentral.